This 443-nucleotide ribosomal RNA is filed under the name uncultured bacterium. RNAcentral's name for it is "partial 16S ribosomal RNA". It matches the Rfam family "Bacterial small subunit ribosomal RNA", at positions 338 to 795 of the family's 1533-position model. The record is from RNAcentral.
CCUACGGGUGGCAGCAGUGGGGAAUAUUGGGCAAUGGGCGCAAGCCUGACCCAGCAACGCCGCGUGAAGGAAGAAGGCUCUCGGGUUGUAAACUACUUUUAUCAGGGACGAAGCAAGUGACGGUACCUGAUGAAUCAGUCACGGCUAACUACGUGCCAGCAGCCGCGGUACUACGUAGGUGGCAAGCGUUAUCCGGAUUUACUGGGUGUAAAGAGCGUGUAGGCUGGAGAGCAAGUCAGAUGGGAAAACCAUGGGCUCAACCUGUGGCUUGCAUUUGAAACUGUUUAUCUUGAGUACUGGAGAGGGAGACAGAAUUCCUAGUGUAGCGGUGAAAUGCGUAGAGAUUUGGAGGAAUACCAGUGGCGAAGGCGGUCUGCUGGACAAAAACUGACGCUCAGGUGCGAAAGCGUGGGGAGCAAACAGGAUUAGAUACCCGGGUAGUC